ACUCUUGCCUGGAAAAAUCCCAUGGACAGAGGAGCCUGAACCGUGUGAUGGAGAACUUACUGCCUGCCUCCUAAGAUAACUGGACUCCAUGCUGUGGCUGGAAGGGAUGGGCUCUGGAAUGAUGAGAGGAGAUGAUGGAGGGAUAAACCCGCAGUUCUCAAUGUUUCCUGUCUUACCCUUCCGCAAGUGCUCUGCAAUCAAAACAAGAAAACAGACUCUUCCAAUGGCAUUUAUCCUGACUGAUACCAGAGGAACUGUUACUGAAUCCUUAUGUCUUACCUUUACUUCCGUGGGUUCCUGUUGCUAUCCAGGCCACCGGGGGGUAGUCAAGUCUCUCCAGGGCCUGGAGAUGUAAGAUUGUGGAUGACUCCUGGAAGCCUCAAAGGAGCAGCCGUGCCCAAAACACCACUUUUCUCAGAGGUACCUUGCCAUGGCCAGUAGCAUCUUGCAAGAUGGUGUUGGGCAAGUCCUACUCAAGUAUGGUCCAUGAUUGGAAACCUCCUAAACCCAGUGAGCCACUAAUUUGCUCUGUGAUCUUGGGCAAAUCAAGUUCAAUCUCAACGUUUCCAUCUGUUUGUUAAAGAGCAGAAAGGGCAGUCCAAUGGUUAGGACUCCGAGCUUCCACUGCAGGGGGCGUGGGUUUGCUCCCUGGUCCCACAAGCUGGGUGGCAUGGCAGAAACAAAAUUAAAAAGAACGAAGGGAUAAUUUUUCUAAAUUCUUUUAAAAUACAUUGUUUUAAGGGGAUAGAUGGCAUGGGAGAAAUGAUAGGUGUUACCUUCUAUCCCUCCUUCUUGCCCAUCCUCCCUGGGUUUCUGUAUCAAAUAAGAUAACAAGCAUGAAAAGGCCCUGAAAAGUACAAAGUCCCAUAAAAAGGCAAGAAAGUGUUAUUAUCAACAUAGUCGUUAGAGGAGAGGGAUGAAGGCAGGGCACAGGCUGAAAGCCAAACAGCUGGAAGGCAGGAAAUCUUAACACCAAAAAAGGAAACUUUCUUUGUUCAAAUUCUUCCUGGAGUGGUACUUUCUUUGGUGCAGACCUGGCACUGAAAUCCUCUGAAUGCUGACACAGCUCCAGGAAAGUGUCCGGGGACAGGUAGGGCAUUCAGCAGCCAAAAGACACUGGAGAAACACCCAGCCUGAUUCUUCACUUCUUCUGUGAUCCAACAAAGGAUGCAACGGAAGGGAGAGUUUCAGAUUCAAAGCCAGCUCUCCUGUGAAGUUGGUACCACAUUUGACACGCAUGAAAACAGGCUCAGAGAGUAGUUCGCAGAUAAUAAACAGCACAGCAGGACUCUGAUGCCGAAGCCUGCUCUGGCAACCACUGUGUUGUGCGGUCUUCACCAUGCUGUUUGAGCACAGAGGACCACCUUGGACUAGGGAGGAGGCAGGGGGAGGACUGUGGAGAGCAGGAGACGUCCAGGAGGAGUUGAUAUCUGAACUGAGCCUUGGAGUAGGAUGGGGCGGGGAGGUUGUUGUUCAGUCACCAAGUCACGUCUGACUCUUUGCAACCCCAUGGACUGCAUGCCAGGCUUCCCUGUCCUUCACUGUCUCCUGGAUCUUGCUCAAAUUCACAUCCAUAGAGUCAGUGAUGCUAUCUAACCAUCUCGUCCUCUGUUGUCCCCUUCUCCUCCUGCCUUCAGUCUUUCUCAGCAUCAGAGUCUUUUCCAAUGAGUCAGCUCUUGGCAUCAGGUGGCCAAAGUAUUGGAGCUUCAACUUCAGCAUCAGUCUUUCCAAUGAAUAUUCAGGGGGUGGGGGGAGAGUCACUGUAAACAGAAGGAUCCACAGUGUGAACAGCACCUGUGUGAUCAGGGUGCAGGGCUGGAAGCAGGUUGCAUGCCCCUAAGAGCGAGUGCCUCCCUAAAUUUGCACCCUGAGCACUUCUCUUGCCCCACCCUCAUCCAAGACCUGACAGGGAGGGUGGAGUUUGGGCAGGAAGAGUUUUGAAGAGAAGGAUCCAGAAAAAGAAGGUGAAUUCAACACAACCUAAGAGACGCAAGUGGUGGUGUCUGGUUUUCAGCAUCUGAAAUGGACUCUCAGGGCACAUCGGUAGAGUCCAAAGUGGAAAACCCAAGAGGAAUGAGAACCGUUAAAAUAACCACGCGAACAACCCUCUCUGCCCAGAUUCCCCACACACCUUUCUUAUGCUCACCUUCCACUCUGGUCUUGGAUAUCACUUCCUCCAGGAAGCAUCCCUGGGUCCCCCAGGCUUGCCUUAGGGCACUUGGGUUCCUAUUUCGGAAUUGCUCUUGGCCUUUCUGUUUCCACACUAGGCUGUGCAUUCCCUGAGGACAGGGGUUGGGUCUUCUGACCCUUCCAUCUCCAGCAGAGCAUGUGGCUCAUAGUAGCUGCUCAGUAACAGACAGUCAGAUGAAAGAAUAACAAACAGCCUCCCAGGGGCCUCUGCCAAGUUCAGGCCAUUUUCUCUUUGUCUCUGGAGUACUGCCAACCUCAGCAUUAGGAAUCCAACAUGUGUUGGAACCAGGAGAAACCUUAAAAAUCAUUUAUUUAUCUCCUUCCUCCCACCUUUUCCGGAUGGGUUGAUUG
Bos taurus (domestic cattle) is the source of this 2541-nucleotide long non-coding RNA. The record is from Ensembl. Lineage: Eukaryota; Metazoa; Chordata; Mammalia; Artiodactyla; Bovidae.